Molecule: long non-coding RNA, 1324 nt
Filed under: Manihot esculenta (cassava)
Lineage: Eukaryota; Viridiplantae; Streptophyta; Magnoliopsida; Malpighiales; Euphorbiaceae
Description: long non-coding RNA (MESC_LNC008343)
Source: RNAcentral
AAUGGAGAGAGAUUAUUCUCUAAAAGUUUCAGUUCACUCCAUUAUUGUCACUUGGUUGACCUUCCUCUACUCCUUUUUGGCAGGGUAAGGCCUCACUUCCUCUAUUUAACUGUAAGUCUCCACCUCCACUGUUAGGCGGAAUUACAAAUAUAAGGUUCUAGUUCUUAACGUAGCGAUGCUUGAAGAGGAAAAUCUUUAGUUGCAACUUUUCUUUUCUUGAUUAUUUUUUGGUAUUAUGCAGUUCUUUUGCUAGUAUAUACACAAGUUUUCAAAUUUUUAAAUUUAGUUAUACUCUCAAUUUCCAUCUAAUAAUAAUAAAAAAGAGUGUUUAGAUCAUUAACAGUGAGAUCUCUUAGCAUUCUCAAUAUUAUGACUUAAAGGGGAUUCGAACCUCUAUGCAUUCAUUCUGUUUCGAAGAGUAACUAUAACAAAUUCAGCGUUGAUUGUCUCAGUGUUGAUUUUAUGUUGCUUGUGAUGUAUGACAAAUGGUUCUUCAAAAGGUAAACUGCUUGUCUUGUUGUCAGUGUUGGAUCAUGAUUUAGAGAUUGAACAUCGGAGAACAACACAUUUGUGCACCUCUUUAUUUUCUUUAGGCUGGCCGUUGGAUGGUAGCUCGUGGAGUGACUCUCAAAGAUGCGAUUGGGAUGUGAAAGAGUAUACAGCCUUGGACUUUUGCGGGUUGUUGGGUCCAUAUGCUUAUCUUUUCGUGGUUUUUGAUGUGUCCUGCUUCAGCUUUUUGUAUGUUAUUUCUAUUUGUAUUGUGCUUGUUGCCUUUGCAUCUCGACGCUCUUUUACCUCGACGGUGCUUCUACCUAUAGGUUAGUGUUUUUUUGUGGGCUGGGGCUCGAGUUUUUGUUGGUCUGAGCUAGCUGCUAGUGGGUUCUUUCAAGACCAUGAAUAUUAUGUAUAUGGACCUUUGAAUUCUUUGUCUGUAAUGGGCUUAGACUUUUAGGUCAACAAAAUUAUCUUUGGAAUUUUUUUUAAAAAAAAAAAGGUUGGAGCAGGAAAUGAUGGGUAGAUCUAAAAAUGGCAGGGAUUAUAUACUGACAAAAGGCAAAAUUAACCAGCAAUCUGUCAAAUCCAUUCCUAUAUUACAAUGUAGUUGUUUAUUGAUUAAUCAUUCGUCUGAUAACAAUGUAGGAGAUCAUACACUUCAAAAUCCCUUUUUUUAUAAACAAAAUUUCAAAGUGAUAAAAAAAAAAAAAGCAGUGUUCUCAGCUAAUGAGACGUUGCCAAACCAAAGAGAUCACAAUCUCAGGUUAAACCAAAAUCAUCAUCAACCCAUUUUAAAGCAUCAUUUCAAUUUCCAGUUCCACAGAUAGAG